CUGCUCCAACCAAAGACCCAGAAGACUAGAGAGCAACAAGGUGUACGAGACCAUGAUGUGCCCUGAAUCCUUCCUGAGCUGCACAAAAUUUAAUUACAUCCAUUGUAUUUAGUAUUCAAAAUAUACUGGCAGCCCAUCUAUUCGAGUACUAUGAAUGAACAACAAUGCCAACCAACCAGAGCUUCCAAGGACUAAGCCACUACCCAAAGAUUAUACAUGGACUGACCCUGGACUCCAACUGCACAGGUUUGGUAAUAACUACUUUUGAGGAACCAAGAGAUGGCAUCAGAUGUCCUGGUAGUCAACUGUGUGUCACCUGACUUAGUAUUCGAAGCGAGAAAUUACUCUUCACGGAUGAACCAUCACUCCAGAACCUGCCUUUGAUUUUCGGGCUUCUUUUGAAUGCAGAAUUUUCCAUAAUUUCCAGUAAACUCUUUAAUUGUCUUAUUAAAUAUACUUACUUUACUAUA
Long non-coding RNA from Rattus norvegicus (Norway rat), 470 nucleotides. RefSeq lists it as uncharacterized. The record is from RefSeq and is a predicted model, not a curated record. NCBI's taxonomy places the organism in Eukaryota, Metazoa, Chordata, Mammalia, Rodentia, Muridae.